RNAcentral lists this ribosomal RNA (1552 nucleotides) under Salmonella enterica. RNAcentral's name for it is "bacterial SSU rRNA". It matches the Rfam family "Bacterial small subunit ribosomal RNA". Lineage: Bacteria; Pseudomonadati; Pseudomonadota; Gammaproteobacteria; Enterobacterales; Enterobacteriaceae. RNAcentral also lists the same sequence under 1 other name. The record is from RNAcentral.
AAAUUGAAGAGUUUGAUCAUGGCUCAGAUUGAACGCUGGCGGCAGGCCUAACACAUGCAAGUCGAACGGUAACAGGAAGCAGCUUGCUGCUUCGCUGACGAGUGGCGGACGGGUGAGUAAUGUCUGGGAAACUGCCUGAUGGAGGGGGAUAACUACUGGAAACGGUGGCUAAUACCGCAUAACGUCGCAAGACCAAAGAGGGGGACCUUCGGGCCUCUUGCCAUCAGAUGUGCCCAGAUGGGAUUAGCUUGUUGGUGAGGUAACGGCUCACCAAGGCGACGAUCCCUAGCUGGUCUGAGAGGAUGACCAGCCACACUGGAACUGAGACACGGUCCAGACUCCUACGGGAGGCAGCAGUGGGGAAUAUUGCACAAUGGGCGCAAGCCUGAUGCAGCCAUGCCGCGUGUAUGAAGAAGGCCUUCGGGUUGUAAAGUACUUUCAGCGGGGAGGAAGGUGUUGUGGUUAAUAACCACAGCAAUUGACGUUACCCGCAGAAGAAGCACCGGCUAACUCCGUGCCAGCAGCCGCGGUAAUACGGAGGGUGCAAGCGUUAAUCGGAAUUACUGGGCGUAAAGCGCACGCAGGCGGUCUGUCAAGUCGGAUGUGAAAUCCCCGGGCUCAACCUGGGAACUGCAUUCGAAACUGGCAGGCUUGAGUCUUGUAGAGGGGGGUAGAAUUCCAGGUGUAGCGGUGAAAUGCGUAGAGAUCUGGAGGAAUACCGGUGGCGAAGGCGGCCCCCUGGACAAAGACUGACGCUCAGGUGCGAAAGCGUGGGGAGCAAACAGGAUUAGAUACCCUGGUAGUCCACGCCGUAAACGAUGUCUACUUGGAGGUUGUGCCCUUGAGGCGUGGCUUCCGGAGCUAACGCGUUAAGUAGACCGCCUGGGGAGUACGGCCGCAAGGUUAAAACUCAAAUGAAUUGACGGGGGCCCGCACAAGCGGUGGAGCAUGUGGUUUAAUUCGAUGCAACGCGAAGAACCUUACCUGGUCUUGACAUCCACGGAAGUUUUCAGAGAUGAGAAUGUGCCUUCGGGAACCGUGAGACAGGUGCUGCAUGGCUGUCGUCAGCUCGUGUUGUGAAAUGUUGGGUUAAGUCCCGCAACGAGCGCAACCCUUAUCCUUUGUUGCCAGCGGUCCGGCCGGGAACUCAAAGGAGACUGCCAGUGAUAAACUGGAGGAAGGUGGGGAUGACGUCAAGUCAUCAUGGCCCUUACGACCAGGGCUACACACGUGCUACAAUGGCGCAUACAAAGAGAAGCGACCUCGCGAGAGCAAGCGGACCUCAUAAAGUGCGUCGUAGUCCGGAUUGGAGUCUGCAACUCGACUCCAUGAAGUCGGAAUCGCUAGUAAUCGUGGAUCAGAAUGCCACGGUGAAUACGUUCCCGGGCCUUGUACACACCGCCCGUCACACCAUGGGAGUGGGUUGCAAAAGAAGUAGGUAGCUUAACCUUCGGGAGGGCGCUUACCACUUUGUGAUUCAUGACUGGGGUGAAGUCGUAACAAGGUAACCGUAGGGGAACCUGCGGUUGGAUCACCUCCUUACCUUAAAGAA